Molecule: ribosomal RNA, 272 nt
Filed under: uncultured Atopobium sp.
Lineage: Bacteria; Bacillati; Actinomycetota; Coriobacteriia; Coriobacteriales; Atopobiaceae
Description: partial 16S ribosomal RNA
Rfam family: Bacterial small subunit ribosomal RNA
Source: RNAcentral
UACGUAGGGAGCAAGCGUUAUCCGGAUUCAUUGGGCGUAAAGAGCGCGUAGGCGGCUUGUUAAGUCAGGUGUCAAAUCUGAGGGCUCAACCCCCAGCCGCACCUGAAACUGGCAGGCUUGAGUUCGGUAGAGGAAGGUGGAAUUCCCAGUGUAGCGGUGGAAUGCGCAGAUAUUGGGAAGAACACCGGUGGCGAAGGCGGCCUUCUGGGCCGUAACUGACGCUGAGGCGCGAAAGCUAGGGGAGCAAACAGGAUUAGAAACCCCGGUAGUCC